This is an RNA transcript of Sinocyclocheilus grahami, 678 nucleotides long. It is a transcript of the gene named transmembrane protein 256, with no coding region annotated. The record is from RefSeq and is a predicted model, not a curated record. The transcript has 5 exons. Lineage: Eukaryota; Metazoa; Chordata; Actinopteri; Cypriniformes; Cyprinidae.
GAUAGCGUCAUUCUUCCUGUUAGAUCCGUAAUGACAUCAGUUUCCUGCAUGAGCUUACAGUUGUUCCCUGGUUACUUCAGGAGCCAUGAACGCCGCUUCGCUGGUCCAGAGGGUAGCAGGGAUUUCUGGAGCUCUUGCUGUCGCAGCAGGUGCAUAUGGAGCUCACGGAUUCAGACACAGUGAAGCCAGUGAUUACCAGAGAGAGUUGUAUGAUACAGCAAACAAGUAUCACAUCUACCACAGUCUGGCAUUGUUAGGAGCUGCUCGCUGUAGAAAACCUGCUCUGGCGGGGGCAAUCCUCCUCGCUGGGAUGGGCUGCUUCUGUGGUCCCCUCUACCACCAGGCCUUAACCAAUGACCCCAGUUUCAGCAAGCUGGCACCAAUUGGAGGCUCAUUGCUCAUCGUUGGCUGGGCUGCGAUGGCUCUUUGAACUCUGACUCCAUUUGGCAGACCAUGACCCUGUUGUUUUAACAUUCUCAGCGAUUAUGUUCUGUUUUGUCAUUUCAACAUGAAAAGAGGAGCUAUAGGUUGACUGAAAAAGAAAGAGGUGGAGAAUUUCACAUCUUAUCUAACCCCUUUUCAGUCAUGUCUGGAAAGUGAUGAUAAGGCCUUGGGAUCAAACAUAAUUCUUUUUUGUUCUCCACACUGUCACAGGCAUCUUUAUUUUGUCAGCAUGGG